RNAcentral lists this ribosomal RNA (506 nucleotides) under uncultured bacterium. RNAcentral describes it as "partial 16S ribosomal RNA". It matches the Rfam family "Bacterial small subunit ribosomal RNA", at positions 30 to 523 of the family's 1533-position model. The record is from RNAcentral.
AUUGAACGCUGGCGGCAUGCCUUACACAUGCAAGUCGAACGGCAGCAUGGAAGAGCUUGCUCUUCUGAUGGCGAGUGGCGAACGGGUGAGUAAAGCAUCGGAACGUACCGUGUAAUGGGGGAUAACGUAGCGAAAGUUACGCUAAUACCGCAUACGACCUGAGGGUGAAAGCAGGGGAUGGCAAGACCUUGCGUUAUACGAGCGGCCGAUGUCAGAUUAGCUAGUUGGUGAGGUAAAGGCUCACCAAGGCGACGAUCUGUAGCGGGUCUGAGAGGAUGAUCCGCCACACUGGGACUGAGACACGGCCCAGACUCCUACGGGAGGCAGCAGUGGGGAAUUUUGGACAAUGGGGGCAACCCUGAUCCAGCCAUACCGCGUGAGUGAAGAAGGCCUUCGGGUUGUAAAGCUCUUUCGGCCGGGAAGAAAUCGCACAGGCUAAUACUCUGUGUGGAUGACGGUACCGGCAUAAGAAGCACCGGCUAACUACGUGCCAGCCGCCGCAGUAA